AUGGCAAAAAAGUGGGUAGUCAACGCUAAGGCGCCUAGGCAGCAUGCUACAAACUGCACUACGAUGAUUUCUGUACUUGACAAACUUGAGGAGGCUCGCCCUCUUUCCUCCCUAGAACUUAAACUGCGCAUUGCAGUAAAAGUCGCCUUACAUCAUCUUGACAAACUUCUAGCUGCGUACUGGCGCCAGCGAGCAAAAAUUAGAGAGUGCACUCUCGGAGACGAAAAUUCAGCUUACAUGCAUGUGUGUGCUUCUGUCCGUUUUCGCAAAAAUAAAAUUCCCAGUCUGCAUGUCAAUGGGACGGACGUGACCUCCCAUAAUGGAAAAGCUGUCGUGCUGCACGACUACUUCAGCUGUCUACUAGGAACUCAAGCUCCAUCUGUAAUUAAUUUUGAUCUCGAUAACCUCUUGCUUGGCUCUAAACUAACCACUUCUCAAGCUCUGUCGCUCACUAGGCCUUUCUCUCUGGACGAAAUUAGAUUAGCUAUUCUGAGCAUGAACGUAAAUGCGAGCCCAGGGCCGGACGGCUUCGGACCAGCCUUUUUUAAAGUUAAUUGGGAUCUUAUCAAGCUUGACUUGCUCAACCUCAUGAAUGAUUUUCAUAAGGGCUGCGCGGAGUUAGCCAGGAUCAACAAAGCCUUCAUUGUGCUUCUUCCAAAAAAAGUUGGAGCUACGACCCCCGACAACUUCAGGCCGGUUUCCCUGCAAAAUUGUGUCAUCAAGAUCAGCUCAAAGUGUCUGGCCACUAGAGCUCAACCUUUUAUCUCCUCAAUCAUUCACCAGGACCAAUCCGGUUUUAUUAAAGGGAGAGGUAUCGCUGAUAAUUUUUUAUAUGCUGCUGAUAUUGUUCAAACUUGCUUCAAACGAAAAAAAUCGGCUAUCGUUCUAAAACUAGACUUCCGCAAGGCUUUUGACUCCGUGUCUUGGGCGGCCUUGUCUGCCAUUAUGAGAGCAAAGGGCUUCCCGCCGGUGUGGUGUGAUUGGAUUCAUAAUCUUAAUCAGACUAGCCAGUCGGCUGUGCUCCUUAAUGGUAAACCUGGCCCAUGGAUCAACUGCAGACAGGGGCUUCGCCAAGGCGACUCGCUCUCUCCUUAUCUCUUCAUUAUUGUAGCCGAUGUGUUGCAACGUCUGAUCCUUCAGGCAUUCGCUAAUGGCCUUCUAUCUCACCCGAUCGAUCCAAGCAUUCCUUGCCCAGUUCUACAGUAUGCUGACGACACCCUUAUCAUUCUGCAAGCUGACCAUGACCAACUUCAAACUCUAAAAUCUAUCCUUCUUGAAUUCUCAAACGCCACGGGUCUGGUGAUUAAUUUUCACAAAAGCACGUUUGCUCCCAUUCAUGUUGAUCCGGAUCUCGCAUCUCAACUUGCAGCUAGUUUUGGCUGCGCGGUUGCAUCGUUCCCUCAAUCCUACCUUGGCCUUCCCCUCUCCACUCACAAAUUAAACCUAAAAGAUUUCUUCUUCAUUAUUGACAAGAUUGAUCGUCGUCUCGCGGGUUGGCGAGGUGUUCUCCUCACCCUAGCAGGCCGUGCUGUUUUGGUUAGGACAGUGCUUAGAGCCUUACCAAUCUAUGCCAUGACCGCUCUCCUGCUUCCUAUGGGUAUUGUCCAGGAAAUCGAUAAACGUUGUCGGGCCUUUUUCUGGGCGGGUCAGGAUAAGGUUUCGGGCGGACAGUGUAAAGUGGCUUGGGAAUUUGUAUGUGCGUCGUUCUCUCGAGGGGGUCUAGGUUUUUCUUCUCUGCACCACCUAAACUCUUGCCUACUGCUUUCCCACCUAAAUAAGCUUCACUCAACAUUUGCUUCUGGGGCUCGCUCCCACCUUGCUGUCAAGUAUGGAUGGUCAGAUAACCGGGACCUUGAUACUCCUCACCCUUUUGAAUCUAGCGUUUGGCAUGAUAUGGCCAAGGGGCUUGAAUUUUUCCGUUCAAUUACGAAGGUGCAUGUUGGCAAUGGUAUGACCACCGCCUUUUGGCUGGACCUUUGGGUUCAAAACUCCACCCAAAAUCUCGCAACAAUUUUCCCUGCUCUCUUCUCCCAUUCGCUCUGA
This 2043-nucleotide ribosomal RNA is filed under the name Triticum aestivum (bread wheat). Its description in RNAcentral is "partial small subunit ribosomal RNA". Lineage: Eukaryota; Viridiplantae; Streptophyta; Magnoliopsida; Poales; Poaceae. The record is from RNAcentral.